GAAGGAUGAGCGAGUAGCGACCGCUCAAUAUGCCGUCAUGCGUUUUAUUGAAUAAAGCCCAGGUACAGGAUGACCGCCUGGUAAGUCAAUUUGUAAAAUCGCCUG
Molecule: non-coding RNA, 105 nt
Filed under: unclassified sequences
Description: cow-rumen-2 RNA
Rfam family: cow-rumen-2 RNA
About the family: cow rumen metagenome.
Source: Rfam by way of RNAcentral